Molecule: unclassified non-coding RNA, 310 nt
Filed under: plant metagenome
Description: partial contains 5.8S ribosomal RNA, internal transcribed spacer 2, and large subunit ribosomal RNA
Rfam family: 5.8S ribosomal RNA (bases 1-105)
Source: RNAcentral
GAAAUGCGAUAAGUAGUGUGAAUUGCAGAAUUCAGUGAAUCAUCGAAUCUUUCAACGCACAUUGCGCCCCUUGGUAUUCCAUGGGGCAUGCCUGUUCGAGCGUCAUUUGUACCCUCAAGCUCUGCUUGGUGUUGGGUGUUUGUCCCCGUCUCCGCGCGUGGACUCGCCCCAAAGUGAUUGGCAGCCGGCGUACUGGUCCCGGAGCGCAGCACAUGUCGCGCAAACGAGUGCCUUGGUACGGCGGCGUCCAUAAGCCCCUCUCUCACGCUCUUGACCUCGGAUCAGGUAGGGAUACCCGCUGAACUUAAGC